GACGAACGCUGGCGGCGUGCUUAACACAUGCAAGUCGAGCGGCAAGGCCCUGCUUUUUUGGGGUGCUCGAGUGGCGAACGGGGGCGUAACACGUGUGUAACCUGCCCUUGACUUUGGGAUAACUUCAGGAAACUGGGGCUAAUACCGGAUAGGAGCCCCUGCUGCAUGGAGGGGGUUGGAAAGUUUCGGCGGUUGGGGAUGGACGCGCGGCUUAUCAGCUUGUUGGUGGGGUAGUGGCUUACCAAGGCUUUGACGGGUAGCCGGCAUGAGAGGGUGACCGGCCACAUGGGUACUGAGAUACGGCCCAGAGUCCUACGGGAGGCAGCAGUGGGGAAUAUUGCACAAUGGGCGGAAGCCUGAUGCAGCAACCCCGCGUGCGGGAUGACGGCCUUUGGGUUGUAAACCGCUUUCGCCUGUGACGAAGCGUGAGUGACGGUAAUGGGUAAAGAAGCACCGGCUAACUACGUG
This 468-nucleotide ribosomal RNA is filed under the name uncultured bacterium. RNAcentral's name for it is "partial 16S ribosomal RNA". It matches the Rfam family "Bacterial small subunit ribosomal RNA", at positions 28 to 507 of the family's 1533-position model. The record is from RNAcentral.